Vicia faba (fava bean) is the source of this 213-nucleotide non-coding RNA. The record is from the annotation of a GenBank genome assembly. NCBI's taxonomy places the organism in Eukaryota, Viridiplantae, Streptophyta, Magnoliopsida, Fabales, Fabaceae.
AUGCUUGAUUCUGAAAUUCUAGAAAUAUGGUUGUUUGGAGUAUUGGAAGUGUUUGCAGGGGCUUGCUUUGCCAUUUUUGUGCCAGGUUGGUGGACUAAUGCAGCAGGUUGGACAGGGUCACAGUUUCGGCAGGGCUUUGUAAUGGACUGUUAUAGGCAGGUUUGCAAGUUUUGGACAGAAGCUUGGUCUUGGGCUGUUUGUGGUAGACAGUAG